CGCCUGGGAACCGUCCCAGCGCCUUGAGGAAUUUUCCAUUUAUGACAUCAUGUCAGCAUUCAAAAAAUCCUGGAUUUUGGAUUUUCAGAUUAAAAUGCGAGGCACGACCUGCUGUUUGGACAAUAUAAACCGUCCCAGAUAGACUGGAAAGGCAAGGCGCUGGGACCAGAGGCUAUAUGCUUUGUGACUGCCUGUUACUGGACAAAUCUCAAGGUUGU
Long non-coding RNA from Hypanus sabinus (Atlantic stingray), 218 nucleotides. RefSeq lists it as uncharacterized. The record is from RefSeq and is a predicted model, not a curated record. Lineage: Eukaryota; Metazoa; Chordata; Chondrichthyes; Myliobatiformes; Dasyatidae. The transcript has 3 exons.